This is a long non-coding RNA of Portunus trituberculatus (swimming crab), 7756 nucleotides long. RefSeq lists it as uncharacterized. The transcript has 4 exons. The record is from RefSeq and is a predicted model, not a curated record. Lineage: Eukaryota; Metazoa; Arthropoda; Malacostraca; Decapoda; Portunidae.
CCUCUCUUUAAUAUCUCGUUUUUCUUCCCGCUUUCCUUUCUUGCUUCACUUUUCUCAUUUCCAUAUUAUUACAUCUUCCCCCUUCUCUCUCUCUCUCUCUCUCUCUCUCUCUCUCUCUCUCUCUCUCUCUGGGGAUGCUGCUCAGGGCCCCGUCUUUCCCGGCAGAGCUAUGCGGCGUGGCAACCCUAACCCCUACGACUCACACAUUCACUUAUCCCACCACCCAGGGUUCACGCAAGGUCACACAGCCGACGUGAGGAGCGAGGGAAGGGUCAUAGCCUCAGUAUACGAAGCAGCUGAUGCCAUGGAAUAAACGUAAGAGAGACAAACUGCCGUGUAAUAGCGCUGCUCCGUGUGAUGAAGUGAGAAAGAGAUAGAUGGAAACAGUAUUGUCCACUCUCCUCAACGGUUUUUCGGACGAUGGAGCGUGGCUAUAGGCAAGGCGGGGAGAGAAAGGCUGGUGGGUGGACCGACAGAGGAGAGGAGGGGAAGGGUUAUGUAGGACACAGACUUAGAGAACGGAGAUUCCACCUUAGAGAGAGAGAGAGAGAGAGAGUGAAAAGCAGACGAAAAUGCAACGGACUAAAGGAAAUGAGAUUAACGAGCGGAAAAAUGGUGAGGCGAUAUAAGGAGAGAUUCAGUUGAGUGAGGAGAAGGAGGAGGAGGAGGAAAAAGAGGAAGAGGAGGAGGAGGGGCAAACGAGGGCGGGUUAAGCAUUCUGAAGAUAAUCUGUAGCAGCGGACCGGAAGUGGCGCCUCGCACGUGCCUGGUCAGUGAGUGCCGUUGUCAGUGCCAGUGUAGGUGCACUCUCUGGUGUCCCCGGGGUGAGGCAGUAACGGCCUGAUGCGUAUAAUGAAUGGUGGAGGCAAGCUGUGACGAUGACCAAAGAUAGGAAGAACAGAGAGGGAAAGAAUUAUGCACACACACACACACACACACACACACACACACACACACACACACACACACACACACACACACACACACACACACACACACACACGUGCGCACUAAUGACUUGCACAGAUUAACAUAACCAGUUAGUGAGUUGUUACCAAUAAGGACACGUGUCACUCAGACUCACUUAACCCCUUUAGUACUGCGGCACAUUUUUACCUUGAGAUUUGUGUACGAUUGGACCAUUUUAUUGACAUUAAGAAGGGUCUAUGGAGUUCAGAAAAUCAAUGGCCUCAGUCUUCACUAUUUUAACCCCGACGUAAGUUUCUGAAGCUGUAGAGAAUCACCAAAUAGUAAGAAGAAUGAAUAUGGAAACGCGUCAUGGCACUGAAGGGGUUAACAACACCAUUAACAACCAUAACAACCCACUGCGUACCUAACACCCGUCAAAUAAAUCUUUUGCUGCACUCAACUUAAUGCUCGUGAACUCAUUACCUGGACUUGCAGCUUCGGCAUGUACAGACAGAAAACUGAUGAAGAACUCGCCUUAUUUCGUCACGUAUCGCAUUCAGAUUGCAAGAACAAACGCAUAUAGUUCAUCCGUUUCGCGUCUUAUCCUGAUUACUUUUAGCGGAUUAUAAUGGAUGAUGAUAUUAAGGUUUUCAAAAGUAUGUUAUAAUGAUCCUUGUGGUAAUCUAACAAGGAUUCCCCAUCACCAGUGACAAAAACACCCCUCAGAACCUGACUAAUCAUCUCCGUGGCUUUUGAAACAGUCUUGAUGAGGGCACAGAGUUAAAGAAUACGGGCUUUAACCUCCACUGGUGUUGUCAAAGGGUGGUUGGAUGAGAGAGCCGCACCAACCUCAGGCCGGCCGCGACAGUGGGUGGGUGUUGCUAACUUGCUGAUCAUUGCGGGUCUAUCGGUCACGUGAUGAUAGAAGGAACCCGCACAUCAGGGCAGCUUACUCCACACUCCACGGCUACACACACACACACACACACACACACACACACACACACACACACACACACACACUAAAGAAUGAGGAGGUGAGGGUAAAUGACCUCGGUGUGUGUGUGUGUGUGUGUGUGUGUGUGUGUGUGUAUGUAAGGUGACAUUCAUUCUACAUGACAUCUUUCUUCGCAUCAUAUACGUAGAUACUUGAGUCCAUGCUGUGUUAGUUGUGUAGAGACAUUCAAUGCAGAACCUUUGCUGAAUAACUGAGGGACAGGCAAGUGGAGGGACCAGCCAGAUGACAAGAGAGGAGGAGAGAUAAAGAUUGUGGAGACGCGAGGAAACUGCUAGUCAGUCAUGCCAGAGUGACGGAGGGUGAUGUGGGAUGCGGAGAGAGAGAGAGAGAGAGAGAGAGAGAAUCACCAUGGGCGUGACAAUGUGACUAUAAUGAGAGCUCACAAGUCGAAAACAGAGAGGGGUCUGUUAGGCUACCAAUGCCCCCAGCACAGCCUGCCCGCCCACCUACUUGCCCACCCACCCACCCGCCCAUCCUUCCAUCCACCUUGCCACGCCUCUCCCCACUGAGAAAACCACCACCACCCACCUCAUGCCCUGUCCUUGCCUCGCCCCGCCCUCCCGCCACCACAACUGGCUUCCCUGCCUGGCAUCACUACACCAGUCAAGGGAUGGGCAUUGUGUAACAUUUUACCGGCGCCGGUCCAGAGUAAACAGCGUCUCUCUCUCUCUCUCUCUCUCUCUCUGGCGCACAGAUAUGUUCAUCAGAAAGGAUUACUUCACGUAGAAAUCAAUAAGUACGAAAUGAGACACUUAAAAGUCUGUUUCAAAUCAACACGCGCAGGGCAAUAUAAAUCUCGUGUUGGAAUUCAAGUUCGACUCACUCAGUAUUGAUUAAUUUCAAUGCGCCACAACAGCGGGUCAUAGUAAGUAGCGAAAAAAAAAAAAUCAAGAAAAGCAGUAUCUUAUGCAGUACAGAUGAUGAAACUUUCCGAAUCAAACAAGCAACACUUCAGUAAAUUAAACGAAGAGAAUGCUGAUCCUUACGGACAUUGUAUCGUUCUUUAUUUCUCUCUCUCUUACACACCACUAAAAUCUUUCGUUGCAUUAUAAUCAGCUCCGUCACACCGCGUUAGAAUUCCAUGAUAAAAUAGGAGAGUGAGAUUUUGAUCGAACCAUGACUCAACCAGCGGCAGACACGAAUGUUACUGAUCAGGGCCAUUGAGCGCAAGUAUUGUAUAGUCAAGGUCACUGGUCGAUGAACGUGGCACACACAUGGCACUUUCCCUCAUUCGUGUCAUCUGAUCCGCCAUUCAUCCAUCAGCUGCUAGGUUUCAGACUUGGUUGAUUAGAGGAAAGAAAGGUGAGAGAGGACGCUGUACACAUGGUAGUGAAUACAACAGGUAAUCGACUUAUGGCCACGACUGUACAGGCGAUCGUUGUUUCCUAAGAAAUGUGUGUUGUUUGGAUAGUUCACGGUGCAGCGGUCCAACGUUCUGCUCAUGUUACCUUCCACAGCAUAUACCACGAAAUUAAGAGUUAUCAAAAGACAUACCUUAUUUAUUUAUUUAUUUAUUUAUUUAUUUGAGGAAAAUGUGUUGUUAUUACAUUCUUUUCCAUUUUUGUUUGCAAUGCUGAAACACGUUCGAAGUGUUCACCUGUAAAUUCCAAGCUCCUAAACACCAAAAGAGAAAGUGCUUCCUUAAUUCAAGAGAUUACAUAAAAGGAAAAAUUCACAAUAGAAUAUAAGUAUUGUACGUAUGAAUACAUACAAAACAUGAAUACAAUUAUCUAACCAACGAUAAAGGUGUUACAGUGUGAAACAUACAAAACAGCCUUCAGUCUUACGAAAAACUAGCAAACAAUGACGUCAGACUUUCAAGGUAUGGAUUCUCAGCCUUGGUCGUGUCGCUCAACUCUUGUCUAAACUUGUUGAAUCAAAUAUGAAUAAGCUGCACUAAGUCCUUUCAUUGAACCUCCACGCAGACCAAGGCAGCAGUUCGUAGGUGUGUCACUUCAAUUCCCAGUAAGAGCAAGGAAGUUAGUUUUGGCUUGAGAGAUUUUACGUAUUGUAUGUCUAUCAAUGUAAACCCUAUAUGUUAAUCUCUCUCUCUCUCUCUCUCUCUCUCUCUCUCUCUCUCUCUCUCUCGAUAAGAAAAAAAGUAAAUGCAUAAUAUUGACAGCUACACAAACAUUAUUCGUACAUAUUCAGUUAUGAUCACUUACAAAUGUUUAUGUAUGGAAGUAAUAAAUAGCUAAAAGAAAUUAGGUAAAUACGAAUAAAUAAAUAAAUGAAUGAAUAAAAUUCAGUCACAAGAAAAAUCGAAAAAACUCAUUAUUCAUUGUGUGUGGGGGGUGAGCUGAUAUUGUUAUGACAGGUAGGACAUGUAGUGAGUAUCGAACCAGUAGUGAUCGGGUAGUCAAAUGUCUUGCGCAUGUCAAGAAGUGGUGAUUGAAGGAGGUAGAGACGAGUAACCAUCUUCCGCCUGAUAGAUGGAUAAGGAGCUGCAGGAAAGUUGUAAGGGAGGACUACGGUACUUAUAACCACUGUAAAAUACUUCUGGGCCCCGCCUCCUCUACGUGAUAAAAGAUCUAGUUGAAGUUGCACUGCUUGGGGUGAUUUUUUUUAAGGUUCUAGUGAUAGAUUGAUAAAAUUCAAAUAUUAUUAACAGGGAAAAUCAUUUAAAGGAACCCGGCUCAUCAUCUCGGUGGCCUUUGAAAAUAGUCGUGGUGAGAGAUCAGUGUUUCUAUAGACGGGAGGACGAAUACAGUGACACUUAUCAACGACUCUCCCACUCACACAGAUUAGACGUAUCAGUAGGAGAGGUAAUAAGGGAAAAUUCAUGCUGAUAAGAGUGUGAUAUGUAUUGCCUUACGUGUUAAUGCAGCAUUUUUCCCCACUCACAGUAAUAUGACGUAACAGAAAUUGGGCAAAAAGGAGUAUAUUGUAUUUCCUUACGUUUCAAAACUGGUCUUUCUGUCAAUGUAUGUUUAUUUUAUGUUUCUAUUUAUUUAAGGAGGAUAUUAUAGUGAAAGGUAAAUGGAAUGUGUAUGAUAAUUAUUCUCCUUCAGGCAUGCUUUCAACUCAUUAUAGUGUAGGAAAAUUUGUACUGACGUAAGAGCUUUUUGUCGGUUUUUAUAGUUUAUGAGAGAGAGAGAGAGAGAGAGAGAGAGAGAGAGAGAGAGAGAGAGAGAGAGAGAGAGUUUGUGUCUAAACCUCUGUUAUAAUGUUUCAAGAAGUAAACGUUUCCAACAGUGCGUCCACUCCCUGCCUGCGGGAGUGACAGGCGGGACAGGUGUGGCCCAGCAUGGCUCUCUUGAAAAACUGGCUCCAUGUGAAGUCAAAGAGCAACAGCAGUCGAGUCCGUGUUCAUCCCCAGACAGAUGACGUACACACUGUAGGUUAAGAUCUACUGGUACCGUCUGCCAUCUCACGGGUUACUGGAGGUGAUUUGACUGAUUUUCCUUUAAGAUCAUUGAAACCCGUCUUAAACAUAGUCACAAUGCGCGUGCUCAGACGAUAUGUGUUGCCGAUGUGAGAUUGGUGGUGUAAAAAGAAGAAUUUGCAGCCAUAAUUCCUGAAUAGCAGGUUCUGCACAAGUUCAUUGCCCAUCUUAGCUGAUAGAAAGUUGCACUGUAAAAUCAGAAAAUAAUAGAAAUGUUGAAUAAAAGAAAGUUAAUCAAGAAUGCUAAGCUUUUAGCAGCACCAGAUUAUCGACAGAGGGACUCUGGUGUUGUAGUUAUAGAAAUUAUCAAUGACAUGCUAUGUACAGUUACUUACAAAUGAGGCUACAUAUAGCAAAGACUGGCCGAGGAUAAUGAUUACUUUGCUGUUUUUAACUUUAACCUCACUGGAAUCCGUUGGUAUCUCCAGAUGUUAUUAACAAAUUUCCUAUUGAUAUUUGAGGAAACGUCUUGGGUCAAAGGAGGAUUGAUUGCGACUUAAACUGAAUUCGCAUAACUAUUCAAGGACUCAUUUUUCCAUCCUAUCGCAGAGUUUCUCUUGGUAAAAGUCUACGGAAAUUUGGCGCAUUUUGUGAAGUCUACGGGGAAUGUUUGCCAUCAUGGAUAUCAUAUAGAUGAUGUGGGUUGUAUGGGUGUCCUCUAGUUGAGAAUGUACAAGAGCAGGAUGAUGCAUUCCAGCAUGGCGAUUGUAAGGGAUUGUAACUAAUAGAAAAUAGACGAGUUUUCAAGACACGAAUGGAGAGCGAAGAAUAUAUAUGUUGCUAGAGCAAUUCGAUAGCCUGCCAGGUGGUUCAGAUGCGUGGAGAAUGAACCAAGUACGUUAAAUAAUGAAAAAUAGAGAACUAACAGAUGCACCAAGGAAGACAUGUGCGUAAUAUGGCGCUGAGGGUGACAGAAAUGUAACCUUUGUGUGUGUGUGUGUGUGUGUCCUGAAAGUUCCUUGUAUCUGCACCACACUACACCACCAACACCACCACCACCAGCAACAAUAUAAGCAGCAAUAGAGCGUCGCUUUGCUCCAGUGAUAAAGGUCAUCGUGAUAAAAUGUUCAUGAGUGACUUGUGACGGAAUUGAUCUGCCGAUAGCUUCCUUCCCCUCACCGUAUGAAAGGGGAAGUAAUCAAUAAAAUCCUUCUAUCCAGUUGGUUGCAGUUCAUUGUACAUUGCGUAAAAUAAACCCGCUUACCUCAUCAUAUAUCGCUACGCUUUAUAGUUCAUUAUAUUUACAAGGAACUAAUGACAGCUAAGAGAGGGAUUUGCACUCCUCUCACCCUUGCCCAGGAACAAUAUAAAAAAAUAACAAACUGACCGUGAGCAAAAAGAAAGAAUAAAGGGGAGGGAGGAUGAGAGGGGAACACAAGUGGCAGAAAAAAACCUCUAACUGGAGUAGACCGAAUUAACGGGACAGAUAUAAAUUAAAGUGGCUCAGCACCUCGAAGAUACUAUUGGCAAAACAUUACUUUACGGUGGAUUCACGUAACUGUUCACUUAAUUGUCUACUUCAACAUGCACAGAUGAGUAUUGUACUGUUCACUAGUCAUGGUAGAUUUACUCAAUGCAUGUGAAUUUGAGCUCAUACGGUCCAAUACCGAGUGCUGUAUGCUACAGAGUUACUGUUUCAUAUAAGUUCGGGUUGGUUUAAAGCUUCGGAUUGCGGCUACAAGGCCAAUAAAGGUAGUGAUACAGAACGAUCCGUGAGUGAUAGAGAAUCUAAUGGUACACUUUUAGGUUUGAAUGUGUUGAGGUUGAUAUUUAAGACUAUAUUAUCAUACAUUAGCGAUGCGGUUAUGUGUGUAUGGGAGACCUCCCUGUAUACAGUGCUGGAUCAUAGCAUGUGUUUUGCGGUGCUCUUGAGACAGUGAAGGUGUGUGUCAUGGUUGUGACAUAACUGUGCUGCAUGUGUGCCAUUUUCCUGUUUUUGGAAAAGGAUGAAAACUUUCAGAGUUCCUAUAAAGUCAUUCAAUGUACAGUGGAGCGAUUAUUUGUUCCAGUGACCUCUGAGUAAGUGGUCAAAUGUAAAGUGUGGUCGAGAACUUCCUGUUGAUGAACGCUAGAAACACCGUAUGUCCUUAAUAAAGAUAGACAUUGACAGCGUUGUAUCGCUAAGAGUCACAUGAGGAAGUGGCAAGCUGGUGGAGGUGGAGUGGCCAAGCUUGGCACUGGUACAGUGGGCCAGUGCGGCAUUGAGUCUCUGGCUUGUGUCUACACACCUGUACUACCGAUACCUGCUGACCUCUGCCACGGCGACCACCAUCACGCUGUGUACGGUCAUCCUCAGUCCCCAUCCAGCCACCAGCUCCCACACCACCACUGCCAUCACAUCACCUGACCUCCAUGUUACCAUCGGGCCACAAUAUCCGCGUCUGAAGCACCACGCACACUUCGGCUAUCGGGGCCGCCAUGUUUUGGCAUCUGUGUCGCUGAAA